GAUGAACGCUGGCGGCGUGCCUAAUACAUGCCAGUCGAGCGAACAGACGAGGAGCUUGCUCCUCUGACGUUAGCGGCGGACGGGUGAGUAACACGUGGAUAACCUACCUAUAAGACUGGGAUAACUUCGGGAAACCGGAGCUAAUACCGGAUAAUAUAUUGAACCGCAUGGUUCAAUAGUGAAAGACGGUUUUGCUGUCACUUAUAGAUGGAUCCGCGCCGCAUUAGCUAGUUGGUAAGGUAACGGCUUACCAAGGCAACGAUGCGUAGCCGACCUGAGAGGGUGAUCGGCCGCACUGGAACUGAGACACGGUCCAGACUCCUACGCGAGGAAGCAGUAGGGACUCUUCCGCAAUGGGCGAAAGCCUGACGGAGCACCGCCGCGUGAGUGAUGAAGGUCUUCGGAUCGUAAAACUCUGUUAUUAGGGAAGAACAAAUGUGUAAGUAACUAUGCACGUCUUGACGGUACCUAAUCAGAAAGCCACGGCUAACUCCGUG
Molecule: ribosomal RNA, 497 nt
Filed under: uncultured bacterium
Lineage: Bacteria
Description: partial 16S ribosomal RNA
Rfam family: Bacterial small subunit ribosomal RNA
Source: RNAcentral